This 405-nucleotide ribosomal RNA is filed under the name uncultured bacterium. Its description in RNAcentral is "bacterial SSU rRNA". It matches the Rfam family "Bacterial small subunit ribosomal RNA", at positions 355 to 776 of the family's 1533-position model. The record is from RNAcentral.
UGGGGAAUCUUGCGCAAUGGGCGAAAGCCUGACGCAGCAACGCCGCGUGGGGGAUGAAUGCCUUCGGGUUGUAAACCCCUUUCAGCAGGAACGAAAAUGACGGUACCUGCAGAAGAAGCCCCGGCCAACUACGUGCCAGCAGCCGCGGUAAUACGUAGGGGGCAAGCGUUGUCCGGAUUUAUUGGGCGUAAAGAGCUCGUAGGCGGCUUGGCAAGUCGGGUGUGAAAACUUCAGGCUCAACCUGGAGAUGGCACUCGAUACUGCUAUGGCUAGAGUCCGGUAGGGGACCACGGAAUUCCUGGUGUAGCGGUGAAAUGCGCAGAUAUCAGGAGGAACACCGGUGGCGAAGGCGGUGGUCUGGGCCGGCACUGACGCUGAGGAGCGAAAGCGUGGGGAGCAAACAGG